This 625-nucleotide ribosomal RNA is filed under the name Colletotrichum gloeosporioides. RNAcentral's name for it is "eukaryotic LSU rRNA". It matches the Rfam family "Eukaryotic large subunit ribosomal RNA", at positions 1 to 648 of the family's 3401-position model. The record is from RNAcentral. Lineage: Eukaryota; Fungi; Ascomycota; Sordariomycetes; Glomerellales; Glomerellaceae.
GUUGACCUCGGAUCAGGUAGGAAUACCCGCUGAACUUAAGCAUAUCAAUAAGCGGAGGAAAAGAAACCAACAGGGAUUGCCUCAGUAACGGCGAGUGAAGCGGCAACAGCUCAAAUUUGAAAUCUGGCCCCAGGCCCGAGUUGUAAUUUGCAGAGGAUGCUUUUGGUGAGGUGCCUUCCAAGUUCCCUAGAACGGGACGCCAGAGAGGGUGAGAGCCCCGUACAGUUGGACACCGAGCCUUUGUAAAGCUCCUUCGACGAGUCGAGUAGUUUGGGAAUGCUGCUCAAAAUGGGAGGUAUAUUUCUUCUAAAGCUAAAUACCGGCCAGAGACCGAUAGCGCACAAGUAGAGUGAUCGAAAGAUGAAAAGCACUUUGAAAAGAGGGUUAAACAGCACGUGAAAUUGUUAAAAGGGAAGCGCUUGUGACCAGACUUGCGUCCGGUGAAUCACCCAGCUCUCGCGGCUGGGGCACUUCGCCGGCUCAGGCCAGCAUCAGCUCGCUGUCGGGGACAAAAGCUUCAGGAACGUAGCUCUCUUCGGGGAGUGUUAUAGCCUGUUGCAUAAUACCCUUCGGCGGGCUGAGGUACGCGCUCCGCAAGGAUGCUGGCAUAAUGGUCAUCAGCGAC